RNAcentral lists this small RNA (121 nucleotides) under Toxocara canis (dog roundworm). The stretch from base 1 to 108 matches the Rfam family "SL1 RNA". Lineage: Eukaryota; Metazoa; Nematoda; Chromadorea; Rhabditida; Toxocaridae. The record is from RNAcentral.
GGUUUAAUUACCCAAGUUUGAGGUAAUUGCGUGUUUCGGCUCGGUUCCAACACAGGUUCCGUGGCUUGAAAUAAAAUUUUGGAAAGCUUUGCUAUUCGGCGAAGCACUAUCGUUGAGUUGA